This 1456-nucleotide long non-coding RNA is filed under the name Equus caballus (horse). RNAcentral describes it as "lncRNA (ENSECAG00000038559.2)". The record is from RNAcentral. Lineage: Eukaryota; Metazoa; Chordata; Mammalia; Perissodactyla; Equidae.
CUUAGAGCUUUCUGCUUUGAAUUACAUGGGCUAUUGUUUUAUUCCCUCUUUUCUGCUGUAAUUUUGGGGAAGGAGAGAUUCUCUCUUGCCCGUACUUGUGUCUCCAGCCACUGGCACUGAGCCUGGCACAUGAGACACCUAACAUUUAUCACAGCGUCUUGAGAAAAGCACAGACUUUGGAGCUGGAUGGCUCACCCUCGACAAGCAUAUUAUCUUCUCUGUGUUCAGUUUCCUCAUGUGUAAAAUGGGAAUAAUAUUACUACCCAUCUCAUAGGAGGACUGCAUGUGUUGGAUUGUGUCUCCCAAAAAGCUUUGUUGAAGUCCUAAGCUCCACAACCUGUGAAUGUGACCUUACUUGGAAAUAAGGUCUUUGCAGAUGUAAUCAGGUUAGAGUCAUACUGCAUGAGGGUGGGCCCUACGUCCAACAGCUGGUGCCUUUAUAGGAGAAAGGAGAGGGAGAUUCGGACAUAAAGAGGACAGAGGGAAGAGGCCAUGUGAAGAUGCAGGCAGAGACCGAAGUGAUACAGUGCAGGCCGAGGAAUGCCAGGGGCUGCCGAGAGCUGCUGGAAGCUGGGAGAGAGGCAAGGAAGGAGUCUUCCCGGAGCCUUUGGAUGGAGAAUGGCCCUGGGGACACCUUGAUUUCAGACUUCUAGGUUCCAGAACUGAGAGAGAAGAAAUUUCUAUUGUCUUACGAUACCUAGUGAUAGCUGCCCUAAGAAACUAAUACAAGGAUUGAAUAUGUUAACGUUGGUAAAGAUCUUAGAACAGCGCCUGGCCAUGGCACUGUUCUAGGCUUUGGGGAUUAAGAGCUGAAUAAGACAACUUCCCCUGUUGUGCCCAGCACGUCCCCUUGGUGCUCCUCUGAUUUCAGCUGUAGAUGUGGUGGACAGUCUCUCGCAAGCUCUCUGGCCUCAGACUGCCAACGUCCUACCGAAGACUCAAACUAGGGGGUUUUCUGCUGUUUUCCAAAGCAGUGCAAACUUCUUCGUCCCAUGAACAAGUGCAACCCACAAGUGUGAAAGAGUGAACACCCCGGGAGAGCCCUCAACGUGCAGUCAUGGGGCCGGGAGCUGGUGGAUAAAGGCUCAGCUUCCUGUCUCUAAGGAGACAAUUAUGGAAGGCAUUUCCUGUAACAUUUCAGGAAGUCCCCAUGGAGUAGACUCCCCGUUACCACAGCGUCCUCGAUAAUGAACACUCAUAUUGACUUUUACUUCUUUCUCACUAUCCCCAGUCCCUUCCUUCUCUUCUGGUAUCACAUUCCAGAAUAAACUGUAGGUCCCCAAGUCUGGUCUCAGCUCUGCUCCAGGGGAACUGGACCCAGAAGGAGCCUGCCUUCUCGUGCAGCGCUGUCCAAAAGAAAUAUGUGAGCCACAUAGGCAAUUAAAAAAUUUCUAGAAGCCACAUUAAUAAAGGAGAAACAAGUGAAAUUAAUUCUAACAGUAUAUGUGCUCUAACA